RNAcentral lists this ribosomal RNA (374 nucleotides) under uncultured organism. RNAcentral's name for it is "partial 16S ribosomal RNA". It matches the Rfam family "Bacterial small subunit ribosomal RNA", at positions 527 to 896 of the family's 1533-position model. The record is from RNAcentral.
GUAGGUGGCAAGCGUUGUCCGGAAUUAUUGGGCGUAAAGCGCGCGCAGGCGGUUCUUUAAGUCUGAUGUGAAAGCCCACGGCUCAACCGUGGAGGGUCAUUGGAAACUGGAGAACUUGAGUACAGAAGAGGAAAGCGGAAUUCCACGUGUAGCGGUGAAAUGCGUAGAGAUGUGGAGGAACACCAGUGGCGAAGGCGGCUUUCUGGUCUGUAACUGACGCUGAGGCGCGAAAGCGUGGGGAGCAAACAGGGAUUAGAUACCCUGGUAGUCCACGCCGUAAACGAUGAGUGCUAAGUGUUAGGGGGUUUCCGCCCCCUUAGUGCUGCAGCUAACGCAUUAAGCACUCCGCCUGGGGAGUACGGCCGCAAAGGCUG